UGAAAUCAGAGCCUUCCCCCAAGAUGUGGAGC
RNAcentral lists this non-coding RNA (32 nucleotides) under Macaca fascicularis (crab-eating macaque). RNAcentral also lists the same sequence under 1 other name. Lineage: Eukaryota; Metazoa; Chordata; Mammalia; Primates; Cercopithecidae. The record is from RNAcentral.